Molecule: ribosomal RNA, 486 nt
Filed under: uncultured bacterium
Lineage: Bacteria
Description: bacterial SSU rRNA
Rfam family: Bacterial small subunit ribosomal RNA
Source: RNAcentral
GACGACGCUGGCGGCGUGGAUUAGGCAUGCAAGUCGAACGGUAUCAUCCUUUCGGGGGUGAGAGAGUGGCGAACUGGUGAGUAACACGUAGGUUACCUACCCUCAAGACGGGGACAACCCAGGGAAACUUGGGCUAAUACCGGAUGUGAGCAACUUUUAGUUGUUUGAAAGGUGGCGUAAGCUGUCGCUUGGGGAUGAGCCUGCGUCCUAUUAGUUAGUUGGUGAGGUAACGGCUCACCUAGGCAAUGAUAGGUAGGCGGCCUUAACGGGUGGUCGCCCACACUGGGAUUGAGAUACGGCCCAGACUCCUACGGGAGGCAGCAGUCGAGAAUAGUCUACAAUGGUCGGAAGACUGAUAGUGCGACGCCGCGUGAACGAUGAAUCCCUUCGGGGUGUAAAGUUCUUUUAUAUGUGAGCAGUGCUUCUUAUAUUAACAGUAUGGGGAGAGAGAUAUUAGCAUAUGAAUAAGCAACGGCUAACUCCGUG